This is a long non-coding RNA of Sinocyclocheilus anshuiensis, 329 nucleotides long. RefSeq lists it as uncharacterized. The record is from RefSeq and is a predicted model, not a curated record. The transcript is spliced from 3 exons. Lineage: Eukaryota; Metazoa; Chordata; Actinopteri; Cypriniformes; Cyprinidae.
UAAUUUAGUAUAUACUACAUGAAAGUACUUACAGACUGACUCAUGUGUUUCAGACUCUGUAAAUCAAACCUUGGAUGGCCUUGUGGAAGCUGCAGGAUCUCGGUGCAGGGAAAUGUCCAACUUGUCUGGCCUGAUGGAGCGUGCCAAUGCGGGAAGGGAAACGUCGACACCCAGCUCUCAAAAUGCAAGCACAGCCCCUCUGCGAAGAGACCUUUCGAGACCCAGUGAGUAUUCAUCUCAUCACACUUUAAACAGUCACUUUUUUUUAUUUUUUCAGGCCUUGUGAAAUGUAAGAACAUUCUUUGUGUUUUUCAGGAUCUGGACAUGUA